GUUGCUUUGCAAUAGGCUUGGAAAACGGAAGUUGCCUGGGUGACAGUGGGUGAAGCUAUAAGCGGAAGAGGAGGAGUUGUUUCUGCAACUGGUGCUGGGAAGAAGCAGGAAAUGGGCAGACAGCCACACGGCGCUGAAGAAGAACAAGCCAUCUCUACAGGGUGCAGGCAGCAUGGCUGAUUCAUCUGCUUGUGGAUUCGAGCUGGUUGCUCUUAGCAGGGCGACAAAUGACUCUCUUGUGAUGUGAAUGCUGGGAACUCUCUCCAUCUAGGUGCAGGUUGUAAAUAUGUGUAAUUAAACCGUAUUUCAUAUAAACACGGCAGUCUCUGCUGUGCCUAAUUCUCCAGAAGGAAAUACAAUUCUGGGUCAGUGCCCAGAACCCCCUGGAAUCUUCUUACUGCUUGGCAGAGAUUGGGAGUUGCAUGUAGCAGUAUUAAAAUAUUGCAAUCUAAAUGCUAAACUUACUGCUUAUGUUCUUUUCAGCUAUAGGUUAUCAGCAAAAGAUUUGUUUUUAAACACUGGUAGUUUGCACAUAUAUUGGCCACAACACGGCUGGAUUGAAUUAUGACGGGAAUGCUGCAUGAACACCUUUUUGUAAACUGAGGUCAGUCAAUCAGUUUAUUAUUAUGGUCAUAGACCAGCAGUUGUUUGAGGUCUUGUAUUAUAAUCAAGCGGUAUAUAAAUCUUGUAAAAUAAAGAUUUUAUUGUGUAGACACAAAGUCCUCUCCCCUAGCAUGGAAGACGAAGAGCAGACUCCAUUUGAGGAUCUCUCCCUCAUUACAGUCGAUCAGGUAUAUGAAGACGAGCAGCAAAGUCAGUCCUCAGGGAAUGUGCAGGCGACCUUGGAGCGGACAGCUCACGGAAGAACCCCGACCAAACCUAAGAGGAGGCGUGUAGUGGUGAUAGGGGAUUCCCUACUGAGGGGAACAGAAGCAGUGAUCUGUGGGCCUGACAAGAUGUCUCGGGAAGUGUGCUGUCUCCCGGGCUAAGAUCCAAGAUGUAACUGAACGACUGCAAGGAAUCAUAAAACCCACUGACAAAUACCCUUCCUCUUGGUUCAUGUGGGAACCAAUGACACUGCAAGCAAUAGCCUCCAGAAGAUCAAAAGAGACUACGAGGCUCUGGGCAGGAAAUUGAAGCAAUUAAAUGCACAAAUUGUGAUCUCAUCUGUCCUCCCAGUUGAACGACGUGGCCCAGGGAGAGAGGGGAAAAUAGUGGAAGUGAACAGCUGGCUUCGCAAAUGGUGUAAACAGGAACGGUUUGGAUUCUUAGAUCACGGACUGCAGUUUCUUGAAGAUGGACUUCUGGCAAGCGAUGGGCUGCACCUCACAACGGUUGGGAGAAAUGUUUUUGCCAAAAAUCUCAGAAACCUCAUCAGGAGGGCUUUAAACUGACUAAUGUGGGGAGGGAGACAGUGCUCCUGAAGGUAGGAGUCUAUCAAUUGAUGAAGAUGAUCAUCCAAAUGUCAUAGACCAAAUGGAGCAAACAGCACACAGACCUAGUGGUGGGAGGAAAAAUCCUUAAAUAAGAGUCACAGGGGAAUGAUUAAUGGACUUCAAUGUCUGUACACUAAUGCGCAAAGCAUGGGAAAUAAACAAGAUGAGCUUGAGCUCUUGGUACAGCAAACUAAAUAUGACAUAAUAGGCAUCACUGAAACCUGGUGGGAUAAGUCCCACGAUUGGAAUGUAAUAAUGGGGGGGAUACAAUCUAUUUCAGAAAAACAGACCAGACAAGAAAGGAGGAGGAGUGGCGUUAUAUGUCAGGGAUGUGUAUACCUGUGAAGAGAUCCAAGAUUUAGAACCUCAAAGCCAAAGUGAGAGCAUUUGGGUCAAAAUUAAGGGAGAGAAGAACAACAGUGACCUCAUUGUGGGAGUUUACUAUAGAUCCCCAAGCCAAACGGAGGACAUAGAUGAUGCCUUCCUGGAACAGAUGGCCAAGCAUGCAAAAGGAAGGAGAUAGUAGUAAUGGGGGACUUCAAUUACCCGGAUAUUUGUUGGAUGUCAAACUCAGCCAAGAGCAUAAGGUCAAACAGGUUCCUCACUGGCCUUGCAGACAACUUCAUUGUCCAGAAAGUGGGAGAAGCAACAAGAGGAACAGCCAUUUUAGAUCUGGUCCUAACCAAUGUUGAUGACCUGGUUAGUGGGGUAGAAGUGGAAGGAUCAUUAGGCGCGAGUGAUCAUGCUCUUCUGAAGUUUACUAUACAGCGGAAAGGAGCAGCCAAGCAUACUAGGACUCAAUUUCUUGACUUUAAGAAAGCUGACUUCAUAAAACUUAGGGAAGUGCUGGGUGAGAUCCCAUGGACAGUAAUACUAAAAGGAAAGGGAGUUCAUGAUGGCUGGGAGUUUGUUAAGAGGGAGAUACUAAAAGCACAACGUCAGGCAAUACCAAUGAGACAGAAACAUGGAAGGUGCCUAAAGAAGCCAGGGUGGCUAUCUAAAGAACUUUUAACUGAGUUAAGAUUAAAAAGGAUGUGUACAAAAAUGGAAAAGGGGGAAACCACCAAAGAGGAAUUCAAACAAAUAGCCAGCACGUGUAGACACAAAGUCAGAAAAGCUAAAGCACAGAAUGAACUCAGGCUUGCUAGAGAGGUUAAAAGCAACAAAAAGGCUUUUAUGGGUAUGUCCGUAGCAAAAGGAAGAACAAAGAAACAGUGGGGUCACUCAGAGGAGAAGAUGGUGAAAUGCAAACAGGGGACACAGAAAGAGCUGAACUCCUCAAUGCCUUCUUUGCCUCAGUCUUCUCCGAUAAAGAAAACAAUGCCCGACCUGAAGAAUUUGGAGCAAAUGAUUCAGCAAAGGAAACACAGCCCAGAAUAACUAAGGAGAUAGUACAAGAAUACUUGGCUAGUUUAGAUGUAUUCAAGUCUCCAGGGCCAGAUGAACUGCAUCCAAGAGUAUUAAAAGAACUGGCAGAUGUGAUCUCAGAACCACUGGCAGUCAUCUUUGAGAAUUCCUGGAGAACAGGCGAAGUCCCGGCAGACUGGAGGAGGGCAAAUGUUGUCCCUAUUUUCAAAAAGGGGAAAAGAGAGGACCCAAAUAAUUACCGCCCAGUCAGUCUGACAUCAAUACCAGGGAAGAUUCUGGAGCAGAUCAUUAAGCAAACAGUAUGUGAGCACCUAGAAAGGAAUGCUGUGAUCACCAAUAGUCAGCAUGGAUUUCUGAAAAUAAGUCAAGUCAGACUAACCUGAUCUCGUAUUUUGACAGAAUUACAAUCCUGGUAUAUGAAGGGAAUGCAGUGGAUGUAGCAGUCCAUCUCCCCGUCCCCUUCCGAGUCCGGGAAUCCUUCCAACUCCUCCUCCUCAUCAGUGGUCCCAAGUAUUCCCUCCGGAACCUCUCCACAGGCUGAGGUUUCCUUGGGAACCUUUGAUGGAACGUUUCUAUCAAUACCUCGUCAUUGAUAUCUUCGGCCAUUACCCAAGUGUUUUCUGACUUCGGUUCUCCUUCCCACGCUACCAAAUACUCCACCUGAUCCCCCUUCCACCUGGCGUCGAGGAUUUCUGCCACAUGGCUGCUGCAUUCUCUUUCUUCUAUGACCGGUCCCCGAGUGGCCAUCCCUUCUCGUCCCCUUCGUACGGUGACAGUAACGACCUGUGAAAUACUGGGUGCAGUUUCAUGUGGUUGGGUAACCGGAGCCUGAAAGCCACUGGGUUGACCUGUUGAAUGACCUCAAAGGGACCCAACCUCCUGGGUCUUAAUUUCUUACAACCUCCUUUGAACGGCAACCCUUGGGUUGACAGCCACACCCUAUCUCCCACCCUUAUGGUUUCACCUUCCCUUCGGUUCUUGUCUGCCUGCCUCUUGUAUUCUUCCUUCGCCCUUUCUAAGUUGAGUUGGAGCUGACGAUGGAUUGCUUCCAUUUCUUCCACAAAAUGCUCGGCUGCCGGGACGCUCCAUCCCUCCCCAUCUCCCCCUGGGAAAGCCCUGGGAUGACACCCAUAAUUAGCCAAGAAGGGGCUCAUCCCUGUGGACACAUUCUCGGCAUUGUUGUAGGCAAAUUCCGCCAGCGCCAACUUUUCUACCCAGUCAUUCUCUCUGUCAUUGACAUAACACCUCAGGUAUUGCUGGAGGACACCGCUUGCUCUUUCCGCCUGCCCGUUGGUUUCCAGGGUGCCGGGCAGUCGAAAAAUUGACCUCCACCUGCAGUAAGCUCAUGAGCUUCCUCCAGAACCUGGAAGUAAAUUGUUUUCCUCGGUCUGAGACCACCUCAAUGGCACCCCGUGCAACCUAAAAAUGUGUUCUACAAAUAACUUCGCUGUCCUACCUUUAUUUCAGCAAGGCAUUUGACAAGGUGCCUCAUGAUAUUCUUGUAAAGAAGCUGGUAAAAUGCGGUCUUGACUAUGCUACCACUCAGUGGAUUUGUAACUGGCUGACUGACCGAACCCAAAGGGUGCUCAUCAAUGGUUCCUCUUCAUCCUGGAGAAGAGUGACUAGUGGGGUGCCACAGGGUUCUGUCUUGGGCCCGGUCUUAUUCAACAUCUUUAUCAACGACUUGGAUGAUGGACUCAAGGGCAUCCUGAUCAAAUUUGCAGAUGACACCAAAUUGGGAGGGGUGGCUAACACCCCAGAGGACAGGAUCACACUUCAAAACGACCUUGACAGAUUAGAGAACUGGGCCAAAACAAACAAGAUGAAUUUUAACAGGGAGAAAUGUAAAGUAUUGCACUUGGGCAAAAAAAUGAGAGGCACAAAUACAAGAUGGGGGACACCUGGCUUGAGAGCAGUACAUGUGAAAAGGAUCUAGGAGUCUUGGUUGACCACAAACUUGACAUGAGCCAACAGUGUGACGCAGCAGCUAAAAAAGCCAAUGCAAUUCUGGGCUGCAUCAAUAGCAGUAUAGCAUCUAGAUCAAGGGAAGUAAUAGUGCCACUGUAUUCUGCUCUGGUCAGACCUCACCUGGAGUACUGUGUCCAGUUCUGGGCACCACAGUUCAAGGAGGACACUGACAAACUGGAACGUGUCCAGAGGAGGGCAACCAAAAUGGUCAAAGGCCUGGAAACGAUGCCUUAUGAGGAACGGCUAAGGGAGCUGGGCAUGUUUAGCCUGGAGAAGAGGAGGUUAAGGGGUGAUAUGAUAGCCAUGUUCAAAUAUAUAAAAGGAUGUCACAUAGAGGAGGGAGAAAGGUUGUUUUCUGCUGCUCCAGAGAAGCGGACACGGAGCAAUGGAUCCAAACUACAAGAAAGAAGAUUCCACCUAAACAUUAGGAAGAACUUCCUGACAGUAAGAGCUGUUCGACAGUGGAAUUUGCUGCCAAGGAGUGUGGUGGAGUCUCCUUCUUUGGAGGUCUUUAAGCAGAGGCUUGACAACCAUAUGUCAGGAGUGCUCUGAUGGUGUUUCCUGCUUGGCAGGGGGUUGGACUCGAUGGCCCUUGUGGUCUCUUCCAACUCUAUGAUUCUAUGAUUCUAUGAAAUAAAAUGAGGAAUCCAAGCAUCAAAGCUGUUACCUUGAGUUCUUCAUAGCCUCAGGCAAAUGAAUGUGAAGGUCUCCUUUAUGAAUGAGUGAAAGAUAAUCAAAACAUAGUGUGAGAUACAUUUUUUUCUAUGUCGUUCUUGAGGGGGUUCUUUUUGGGUUUUUUGAAGGAAAAUAAUAGCAACCAGGCUUCAUAAGGACUGAUUCAAAGAAUGAUUCCUUGUAUCUAUGUUCCACCUUGGUUAAAGAUAAUGAAAUAAAAGUAAAAAAUAUGGAGAAGGGCAAGUGAAGAGACAGGGAAGGAAAUUCCCCUUUUGGGCAAGAAGAGAUGUGGGGCUAGAAUGCAGUGUGUGGUUGAGGGGAUAGUCUUAGGACAGGAGUGGGGAACUUCAGGCCCAGGAGCCAAAUGUGACCCUCUCUAGGUCUCUUUAUCUGGCCCUACAGAACCAUCCACUAACAGUGCCUCAGUCUUAUCUAGAUUGAGCUUCAGUUUGUUGGCUCUCAUUCAGCCCAUUACCAAGGCAAGACAAGGGUCCAGCACAUCCACUGCCACACCUGCAGAUGUAAAGGAGAAGUAGAGCUAUGUGUCAUCAGCAUCUUUUCCAAAUCCAGGGAGGGCUUCUUAAGGAGUGGUUUUACCACUGCCUUCUUCAAGCAAGCAGGGACCACGCCCUCUCACAAGGAAGCAUUAAUCACCUCCCCGGCCCAGCCAGCUGUCCCCUCCCUGCUAGUUUUUAUAAGCCAAGAGGGACAGGAGUCCAGAACAAAAGUGGUUACCAGGACUGAUCCAAGCACCUUGUCCACAUCUUCAAGUCUGAACAACCAAAACUCAACCAACACAGCAGGACUAGACAGUGCUCUGGACACUCAUUGAGAUUCAUCCGCUGAAUCAACACCUGCGGAGUCAACAUCCCAGUGGAUGCUAGCAAUCUUAUCCUCAAAAUGCUGCACAGACAAAUGACAGUGAGCUAUUGUCGGUUCUGCCACCUCCUUCAGUACAGACUACAAAAGGCCCCACACUAUCUAGAAAAGCUCUUCCGAACAGCACAAUGAGGAUGCAGUGGAGGGAGCAAAGUAUGCCUUGAUUGAAAGCAGCAUGUUGAAGAUGAGGAAAAACUACAUUUUUGUGCUACAAACAUGUUAGUGCUUACACAAUCUAUGCCACCCUUUGCUCUUCACAGCCACUGUCCCAGAUCUAUUUCACACUCCAUUUCAUGCAAACUGGGAGAGAGAGACCCCCUUGGCCAGCAGCAGAACAAGUGAGC
Molecule: non-coding RNA, 6670 nt
Organism: Podarcis lilfordi (Lilford's wall lizard)
Lineage: Eukaryota; Metazoa; Chordata; Lepidosauria; Squamata; Lacertidae
Source: the annotation of a GenBank genome assembly